GAUGAACGCUGGCGGCGUGCUUAACACAUGCAAGUCGAACGAAGCAUUUGUGACAGAUUUUUCGGAAUGAAGUUGCUUAUGACUGAGUGGCGGACGGGUGAGUAACGCGUGGGUAACCUGCCUUGUACUGGGGGAUAGCAGCUGGAAACGGCUGGUAAUACCGCAUAAGCGCACAAUGUUGCAUGACAUGGUGUGAAAAACUCCGGUGGUAUAAGAUGGACCCGCGUUGGAUUAGCUGGUUGGUGGGGUAAACGGCCCACCAAGGCGACGAUCCAUAGCCGGCCUGAGAGGGUGAACGGCCACAUUGGGACUGAGACACGGCCCAGACUCCUACGGGAGGCAGCAGUGGGGAAUAUUGGGCAAUGGGGGAAACCCUGACCCAGCAACGCCGCGUGAGCGAAGAAGUAUUUCGGUAUGUAAAGCUCUAUCAGCAGGGAAGAAAAUGACGGUACCUGACUAAGAAGCCCCGGCUAACUACGUG
This 481-nucleotide ribosomal RNA is filed under the name uncultured bacterium. Its description in RNAcentral is "bacterial SSU rRNA". It matches the Rfam family "Bacterial small subunit ribosomal RNA", at positions 28 to 507 of the family's 1533-position model. The record is from RNAcentral.